GGGGAAUAUUGGGCAAUGGGCGCAAGCCUGACCCAGCAACGCCGCGUGAAGGAAGAAGGCUUUCGGGUUGUAAACUUCUUUGACAGGGGACGAAACAAAUGACGGUACCCUGAAAACAAGCCACGGCUAACUACGUGCCAGCAGCCGCGGUAAUACGUAGGUGGCAAGCGUUGUCCGGAUUUACUGGGUGUAAAGGGCGCGUAGGCGGGAUGGCAAGUCAGAUGUGAAAAUUAUGGGCUCAACCCAUAACCUGCAUUUGAAACUGCUGUUCUUGAGUAUCGGAGAGGCAGGCGGAAUUCCUAGUGUAGCGGUGAAAUGCGUAGAUAUUAGGAGGAACACCAGUGGCGAAGGCGGCCUGCUGGACGACAACUGACGCUGAUGCGCGAAAGCGUGGGGAGCAAAC
RNAcentral lists this ribosomal RNA (403 nucleotides) under uncultured bacterium. RNAcentral describes it as "bacterial SSU rRNA". It matches the Rfam family "Bacterial small subunit ribosomal RNA", at positions 356 to 773 of the family's 1533-position model. The record is from RNAcentral.